AUCUACGGCCAUACCACGCUGAACACGCCCGAUCUUGUCUGAUCUCUGAAGCUAAGCAGGGUCGGGCCUGCUUAGUACUUGGAUGGGAGAGAAAGACAGACACCUGCAGACC
Molecule: ribosomal RNA, 112 nt
Filed under: Erinaceus europaeus (western European hedgehog)
Lineage: Eukaryota; Metazoa; Chordata; Mammalia; Eulipotyphla; Erinaceidae
Source: RNAcentral